AGCGAACGCUGGCGGCAGGCUUAACACAUGCAAGUCGAACGGGCACUUCGGUGCUAGUGGCAGACGGGUGAGUAACACGUGGGAACGUACCUUUUGGUUCGGAAUAAUUCAGGGAAACUUGGACUAAUACCGGAUACGCCCUUUGGGGGAAAGAUUUAUCGCCGAAAGAUCGGCCCGCGUCUGAUUAGCUAGUUGGCGAG
This 200-nucleotide ribosomal RNA is filed under the name uncultured bacterium. Its description in RNAcentral is "partial 16S ribosomal RNA". It matches the Rfam family "Bacterial small subunit ribosomal RNA", at positions 29 to 256 of the family's 1533-position model. The record is from RNAcentral.